This 465-nucleotide ribosomal RNA is filed under the name uncultured bacterium. RNAcentral describes it as "partial 16S ribosomal RNA". It matches the Rfam family "Bacterial small subunit ribosomal RNA", at positions 28 to 507 of the family's 1533-position model. The record is from RNAcentral.
GACGAACGCUGGCGGCGUGCUUAACACAUGCAAGUCGAACGGAAAGGCCCCUUUGGGGGUACUCGAGUGGCGAACGGGUGAGUAACACGUGAGUAACCUGCCCUUGACUUCGGGAUAACUUCAGGAAACUGGGGCUAAUACCGGAUAGGAAUCCUUGCUGCAUGGUGGGGGUUGGAAAGCUUCGGCGGUUUUGGAUGGACUCGCGGCUUAUCAGCUUGUUGGUGGGGUAGUGGCUUACCAAGGCUUUGACGGGUAGCCGGCCUGGGAGGGCGACCGGCCACAUUGGGACUGAGAUACGGCCCAGACUCCUACGGGGGGCAGCAGUGGGGAAUAUUGCACAAUGGGCGGCAGCCUGAUGCAGCAACGCCGCGUGCGGGAUGACGGCCUUCGGGUUGUAAACCGCUUUCAGCAGGGGCGAAGCUUGUGGUGACGGUACCUGCAGAAGAAGCACCGGCUAACUACGUG